Long non-coding RNA from Ictidomys tridecemlineatus (thirteen-lined ground squirrel), 1219 nucleotides. RefSeq lists it as uncharacterized. The record is from RefSeq and is a predicted model, not a curated record. Lineage: Eukaryota; Metazoa; Chordata; Mammalia; Rodentia; Sciuridae.
AUAUUAAUUCAUAUUUUGAUAAGCUGUAAGCAAUUCUACAAUUCAUGGGUUGCGUGACUUCUAAUAGGCUGAUUCGUUGCACUAGUCGCCCUUCACUCACCGGUCCAAUAACUAUGCUUGGAGCGCUCACGCGCCGGGUGGGAGGCCCUCAGGACCGCCCUGAGAGGCGCAGGCUUCAGGCUCGGACCCCCAGGAACUUGCCCUCUAGUGGGCUAAAUAGGAAGGUGUGUCUACGAAAAUAAAGACCGGCGAGCGUGCGCACGGUGCCCGGCUGUACUAGGAGGGGAGAGCAGGGCCGCGGUGAGUGCAUUCAGUGCUAGGCCUGGCUGGGUCUGGGGCAGCGACAGGCGUUGGCCAAGAGUUCUGGGCUGAGGCACCAGGUCCUACCGAGGCGUGGAGACCCAGCAGAACGCGGGGCUCUAGGAAACGCUGGGCUCGCGAGGCGAGAAGCUGCGGGGAGAGGAACGUGAAAGGAAGAGCUCCUGGGUGCUUUGUUAAGAAGUCUGGAUUUGACCCCGAAAUGAGGUGCAUCAUAAGAUUUGAGCAGGGACGGACGGCAUGGUCCUAUUCGGCUUUUUGAUACCGCUCUGAUGGCUGUAGACGAGAGCUGACCCCGGGGCAAGGCUGAUGCGGUCACCUGGAAUAGACAGAAUCCAAGGCCAGGAUUCCCACCUGUGGACUAUGUGCAACGCAGCUGCAGCUCGGGGACUGGAAAGCCACACAGAGGGGCUGAGGGGUCCAGGAGAGGCUGCCGGCCCCUUUGGAUCUGGGGUUCUCAGGGGACAUUCCCAGGAACACCCAUGGCUGGCCACUUGUCUGGAGAUGACUUGGGCAGCGGCCCCAGUUUGGACCUGCUGCUGGGGCUACCCAGAGCAUGCGUUUUCAAGGAUGCCUACCUAUAGGACGUCUAUUUCAGACAAAAAACAUGAUCGUAACGUGUUCUCAAAGCUAAAUAAUCUGAUUUUUAUCCCUCCACAGUUUUCUUUAGAAAGCCUUUAUAGUUGUAUUAUUAAGAAAAUUUACAAAGGAAAUGUUACAUUUAUGAGUGAUGCAUAUGUUUGCUUGUAUUUUAUUUUUAAAAAUUUUGAAAGUACCUUUGAUCAUCACGAGAAAGUAAAAAGGCCAGCAAUUUGAGACAAUUUUCUCACAGUCUCUCAUGAGGAGCAAAUCACAUAAUUCUUCUUGGUUUCUAACUAUGUAAAUAUAAAAUGUAAACAGA